ACAGCAUCUUAAACAGGUCGUGGUCUCUGAGCAGUAGACCAGGAUUUGGUAGCUGGUGCUAAGAUCAGUUCUCUUCUGCAACACUCCCGCUAGCAACUUUUGGGCUUUCUGGGAUUACUAUGGGAGAGAGACAAAC
Molecule: small nucleolar RNA, 136 nt
Filed under: Acanthochromis polyacanthus (spiny chromis)
Lineage: Eukaryota; Metazoa; Chordata; Actinopteri; Pomacentridae
Description: Small nucleolar RNA SNORA30/SNORA37 family (ENSAPOG00000022513.1, ENSAPOG00000023568.1, ENSAPOG00000023605.1)
Source: RNAcentral